Molecule: long non-coding RNA, 372 nt
Organism: Seriola aureovittata
Lineage: Eukaryota; Metazoa; Chordata; Actinopteri; Carangiformes; Carangidae
Exons: 3
Source: RefSeq, a predicted model, not a curated record
AUGAGCGCUGGUGUGCCAAACAGGCCAGUUACAUGAACCCUGAGGCCCAGCUGGCAGAGCUGCUGUUCAGCUCUGCACCAGGUAGAGGCACAUACCGGUACAGAGACAUCUCCUCUCUAUCCUGUGGCUCUUUCUGAGGGUUCUAGUCAGGGGGUGAUGAACAAGACCACUGCCUCCCCACCACCCAUCUACACCUCCCACUGCCCACUCCACAUCAAUGAAGGAGACUACAUGACUGCCAUGGAAACUGAAGGUCAUUGAUCCUCACCAGCAGGAAAGGUCCUUUUGCUGCCCAGUCUCUGGAGCUCCCGGAGCCGUACUCCUUCCCUGCCAGGACCAGCAGAGGGACUCCAGACUGCUGGUACCUCUCUG